RNAcentral lists this ribosomal RNA (484 nucleotides) under uncultured Lachnospiraceae bacterium. Its description in RNAcentral is "partial 16S ribosomal RNA". The record is from RNAcentral. Lineage: Bacteria; Bacillati; Bacillota; Clostridia; Lachnospirales; Lachnospiraceae.
CACGUAGUUAGCCGGGGCUUCUUAGUCAGGUACCGUCAUUUUCUUCCCUGCUGAUAGAGCUUUACAUACCGAAAUACUUCUUCACUCACGCGGCGUCGCUGCAUCAGGGUUCCCCCAUUGUGCAAUAUUCCCCACUGCUGCCUCCCGUAGGAGUUUGGGCCGUGUCUCAGUCCCAAUGUGGCCGGUCACCCUCUCAGGCCGGCUACUGAUCGUCGCCUUGGUGGGCCUCUACCCCGCAACUAGCUAAUCAGACGCGGGUCCAUCGUAUACCGUUUACGCUUUUCACACUGCUCCAUGCGAAGCUGUGCGCUUAUGCGGUAUUAGCACCUAUUUCUAAGUGUUAUCCCCCUGUAUACGGCAGGUUACCCACGCGUUACUCACCCGUCCGCCACUAAACAAAAUCACUAGGUUUCAUUCUGUUCCCGUUCGACUUGCAUGUGUUAGGCACGCCGCCAGCGUUCAUCCUGAGCCAGGAUCAAACUCU